Molecule: ribosomal RNA, 300 nt
Filed under: uncultured Thermodesulfobacterium sp.
Lineage: Bacteria; Pseudomonadati; Thermodesulfobacteriota; Thermodesulfobacteria; Thermodesulfobacteriales; Thermodesulfobacteriaceae
Description: bacterial SSU rRNA
Rfam family: Bacterial small subunit ribosomal RNA
Source: RNAcentral
GAUGAUACGGCGGCAGCAGCGGGGGUAAUGCAGGGGAGGUGAGGUGUGUUCGGUAGUACUGGGGGGAAAGGGCGCGUAGGCGGCCUGCUAAGACGAACGGGGAGUCCCCGGGCUCAACCCGGGAACUGCGUCCGAUACUGGCAGGCUUGAAUCCGGGAGAGGGAUGUGGAAUGCCAGGGGUAGCGGUGAAAUGCGUAGAUAUCUGGAGGAACACCGGUGGCGAAGGCGGCAUCCUGGACCGGCAUUGACGCUGAGGCGCGAAAGCCAGGGGAGCAAACGGGAUUAGAUACCCGAGUAGUC